RNAcentral lists this ribosomal RNA (803 nucleotides) under uncultured bacterium. Its description in RNAcentral is "bacterial SSU rRNA". It matches the Rfam family "Bacterial small subunit ribosomal RNA", at positions 82 to 915 of the family's 1533-position model. The record is from RNAcentral.
GUAGCAAUACCUAGUGGCGGACGGGUGAGUAACGCGUGGGAAUCUGCCUUUAGAUGGGGGAUAACGGGUCGAAAGACUCGCUAAUACCGCAUAUGACGAAAGUUGAAAGGAGUAAUCCGUCUAAAGAUGAGCCCGCGUCCGAUUAGCUAGUUGGUAGAGUAAAAGCCUACCAAGGCGACGAUCGGUAGCUGGUCUGAGAGGAUGAUCAGCCACAAUGGGACUGAGACACGGCCCAUACUCCUACGGGAGGCAGCAGUGGGGAAUUUUACGCAAUGGGCGAAAGCCUGACGUAGCGACACCGCGUGAGCGAAGAAGCCCCUUGGGGCGUAAAGCUCUGUCAGCUGGAACGAAAAAAAUGACGGUACCAGCAGAGGAAGCAUCGGCUAACUACGUGCCAGCAGCCGCGGUAAGACGUAGGAUGCAAGCGUUGUCCGGAUUUAUUGGGCGUAAAGAGUUCGUAGGUGGUUUGUUAAGUUUGGUGUUAAAGAUUGGGGCUCGACCCUGAAACUGCACUGAAUACUGGCAGACUCGAGUGUGGUAGAGGCUAGUGGAAUUCCCAGUGUAGCGGUGAAAUGCGUAGAUAUUGGGAAGAACACCGGUGGCGUAGGCGACUAGCUGGGCCAUAACUGACACUGAGGAACGAAAGCCAGGGGAGCGAAUGGGAUUAGAUACCCCAGUAGUCCUGGCCGUAAACGAUGGAUACUAGGCGUAUCGGGUAUCGACCCCUGAUGUGCCGCAGCUAACGCGAUAAGUAUCCCGCCUGAGUAGUACGGCCGCAAGGUUGAAACUCAAAGGAAUUGACG